GCCCGAUUAGCUCAGUUGGUUAGAGCACGAGACUCUUAAUCUCGGGGUCGCGAGUUCGAGCCUCGCAUCGGGCU
Ditylenchus destructor is the source of this 74-nucleotide non-coding RNA. Lineage: Eukaryota; Metazoa; Nematoda; Chromadorea; Rhabditida; Anguinidae. The record is from the annotation of a GenBank genome assembly.